RNAcentral lists this ribosomal RNA (1434 nucleotides) under uncultured bacterium. RNAcentral describes it as "16S ribosomal RNA". It matches the Rfam family "Bacterial small subunit ribosomal RNA". The record is from RNAcentral. RNAcentral also lists the same sequence under 1 other name.
GCUUAACACAUGCAAGUCGAGGGGCAGCAUGGUCUUAGCUUGCUAAGGCCGAUGGCGACCGGCGCACGGGUGAGUAACACGUAUCCAACCUGCCGUCUACUCUUGGACAGCCUUCUGAAAGGAAGAUUAAUACAAGAUGGCAUCAUGAGUCCGCAUGUUCACAUGAUUAAAGGUAUUCCGGUAGACGAUGGGGAUGCGUUCCAUUAGAUAGUAGGCGGGGUAACGGCCCACCUAGUCUUCGAUGGAUAGGGGUUCUGAGAGGAAGGUCCCCCACAUUGGAACUGAGACACGGUCCAAACUCCUACGGGAGGCAGCAGUGAGGAAUAUUGGUCAAUGGGCGAGAGCCUGAACCAGCCAAGUAGCGUGAAGGAUGACUGCCCUAUGGGUUGUAAACUUCUUUUAUAAAGGAAUAAAGUCGGGUAUGGAUACCCGUUUGCAUGUACUUUAUGAAUAAGGAUCGGCUAACUCCGUGCCAGCAGCCGCGGUAAUACGGAGGAUCCGAGCGUUAUCCGGAUUUAUUGGGUUUAAAGGGAGCGUAGAUGGAUGUUUAAGUCAGUUGUGAAAGUUUGCGGCUCAACCGUAAAAUUGCAGUUGAUACUGGAUAUCUUGAGUGCAGUUGAGGCAGGCGGAAUUCGUGGUGUAGCGGUGAAAUGCUUAGAUAUCACGAAGAACUCCGAUUGCGAAGGCAGCCUGCUAAGCUGCAACUGACAUUGAGGCUCGAAAGUGUGGGUAUCAAACAGGAUUAGAUACCCUGGUAGUCCACACGGUAAACGAUGAAUACUCGCUGUUUGCGAUAUACUGCAAGCGGCCAAGCGAAAGCGUUAAGUAUUCCACCUGGGGAGUACGCCGGCAACGGUGAAACUCAAAGGAAUUGACGGGGGCCCGCACAAGCGGAGGAACAUGUGGUUUAAUUCGAUGAUACGCGAGGAACCUUACCCGGGCUUAAAUUGCAGAUGAAUUACGGUGAAAGCCGUAAGCCGCAAGGCAUCUGUGAAGGUGCUGCAUGGUUGUCGUCAGCUCGUGCCGUGAGGUGUCGGCUUAAGUGCCAUAACGAGCGCAACCCUUGUUGUCAGUUACUAACAGGUUCCGCUGAGGACUCUGACAAGACUGCCAUCGUAAGAUGUGAGGAAGGUGGGGAUGACGUCAAAUCAGCACGGCCCUUACGUCCGGGGCUACACACGUGUUACAAUGGGGGGUACAGAGGGCCGCUACCACGCGAGUGGAUGCCAAUCCCCAAAACCUCUCUCAGUUCGGACUGGAGUCUGCAACCCGACUCCACGAAGCUGGAUUCGCUAGUAAUCGCGCAUCAGCCACGGCGCGGUGAAUACGUUCCCGGGCCUUGUACACACCGCCCGUCAAGCCAUGGGAGCCGGGGGUACCUGAAGUGCGUAACCGCGAGGAGCGCCCUAGGGUAAAACUGGUGACUGGGGCUAA